UGUUCACCACCGGGCGAGAUGCCCAGAGCGCCCCAGAGCUGCUGAGUCAUGGAGGACGAGGCUGGGUUACCAACAGAGGAGCCCCGGGUCCCCAGGGACCCUGGAAGCACCAGGCUGGAGGCCCAACAGCCCAAACCAAAACCGACCCGUCUGGAUGGAGACAAAGAGGAUGAAGAUUUGACCUCAGGACACUCUGCAGACUUCACGGCUCUGCCCUCACCGUGUCAAGGAGUAGACUUCAUUUCCAGCUUCAUGUAUUAAACUCAAGUAUUUUUCAUAGUUUACCGGGCUUUGAAGCACGUGAACAGGUGUACCUAAUGACCUAGUGUGUACACUUCAAAAUAACAUUAGUGGGUUUUUGUGUUGCUGUUGGCCAUUUUGACAUUUUGAACUGCAACCAAGCUGAAGAUGAAGCUUAUAUGAAAAAAAAAAAUCCUUAUGAAUCCUUGUAAAAAAGUCUGUAGGCAUCACUGACCCAUUUAUUAAAAUGUGUUUCAUAUGUGUGGAAAACAGUUGUGGGGCUGUGUGCAGAACCAGCAGCUGUGGUUGUUGAGCUCACAGGGUGCGACUCCUUCACCAAACUGUCUGGCUCCAGUUCUAAUGGGCCAACAGACAGAAGGACACACAACAAACCCACUGACUAACAAACAUCCCCGGGGACGGUGAGUCAGGAGGAGGAGGAGGAGGAGGAGGAGCAGCCAAACUCCUGCAGACUGCCUCUCCUGCCUGGAAGCCCAGAGGAAAAAUAA
Molecule: long non-coding RNA, 749 nt
Organism: Salarias fasciatus (jewelled blenny)
Lineage: Eukaryota; Metazoa; Chordata; Actinopteri; Blenniiformes; Blenniidae
Exons: 3
Source: RefSeq, a predicted model, not a curated record